Molecule: ribosomal RNA, 429 nt
Filed under: Gemmatimonadota bacterium
Lineage: Bacteria; Pseudomonadati; Gemmatimonadota
Description: Gemmatimonadetes bacterium partial 16S ribosomal RNA
Rfam family: Bacterial small subunit ribosomal RNA
Source: RNAcentral
UAGGGAAUCUUCGGCAAUGGACGAAAGUCUGACCGAGCAACGCCGCGUGAGUGAAGAAGGUUUUCGGAUCGUAAAACUCUGUUGUUAGAGAAGAACAAGGACGUUAGUAACUGAACGUCCCCUGACGGUAUCUAACCAGAAAGCCACGGCUAACUACGUGCCAGCAGCCGCGGUAAUACGUAGGUGGCAAGCGUUGUCCGGAUUUAUUGGGCGUAAAGCGAGCGCAGGCGGUUUCUUAAGUCUGAUGUGAAAGCCCCCGGCUCAACCGGGGAGGGUCAUUGGAAACUGGGAGACUUGAGUGCAGAAGAGGAGAGUGGAAUUCCAUGUGUAGCGGUGAAAUGCGUAGAUAUAUGGCGGAACACCAGUGGCGAAGGCGGCUCUCUGGUCUGUCACUGACGCUGAGGCUCGAAAGCGUGGGGAGCAAACAGG